GGUGGGGUGGCCGAGCGGUUUAAGGCAGUAGUCUUGAAAACUACCGAAGGUUAACGCCUUCCGUGGGUUCGAAUCCCACCCCCACCGCCA
RNAcentral lists this transfer RNA (90 nucleotides) under Steroidobacteraceae bacterium. Its description in RNAcentral is "tRNA-Ser". It matches the Rfam family "tRNA". Rfam says of the family: Transfer RNA (tRNA) molecules are approximately 80 nucleotides in length. Their secondary structure includes four short double-helical elements and three loops (D, anti-codon, and T loops). Lineage: Bacteria; Pseudomonadati; Pseudomonadota; Gammaproteobacteria; Steroidobacterales; Steroidobacteraceae. The record is from RNAcentral.